This 255-nucleotide long non-coding RNA is filed under the name Lupinus angustifolius (narrow-leaved blue lupine). Its description in RNAcentral is "long non-coding RNA (LANG_LNC001899)". The record is from RNAcentral. Lineage: Eukaryota; Viridiplantae; Streptophyta; Magnoliopsida; Fabales; Fabaceae.
UUUUAUCGAAAUCUUUAUAUCGAGGAUGAACCUGUCUGCACCUUUUGCUUAUCAAGUUGUUUUUCUCCUUUUGAUAAUCCUUAACUCUUAAUGCUUAGAGCAUUGGUUACAUAUGAAGAUAUUUGGCGUGCCAUAUACAACAUCAGGGGUUAUAAGGCAUCAGGUAAGGAUGGUAUCCAUACCCUUUUUCUAUCAGAAUCAAUAGAACCUGGUAGGAGCUAAACUGUGUGAUGUAGUGAAAGUGGUUUUUUGUAA